This 268-nucleotide ribosomal RNA is filed under the name uncultured Peptostreptococcaceae bacterium. RNAcentral describes it as "partial 16S ribosomal RNA". It matches the Rfam family "Bacterial small subunit ribosomal RNA", at positions 62 to 339 of the family's 1533-position model. The record is from RNAcentral. Lineage: Bacteria; Bacillati; Bacillota; Clostridia; Peptostreptococcales; Peptostreptococcaceae.
UCGAGCGAUUUACUUCGGUAAAGAGCGGCGGACGGGUGAGUAACGCGUGGGUAACCUGCCCUAUACACACAGAUAACAUACCGAAAGGUAUGCUAAUACGAGAUAAUAUAAGAGAUUCGCAUGGAUUUCUUAUCAAAGCUCCGGCGGUAUGAGAUGGACCCGCGUCUGAUUAGCUAGUUGGUAAGGUAAUGGCUUACCAAGGCUUCGAUCAGUAGCCGACCUGAGAGGGUGAUCGGCCACAUUGGAACUGAGACACGGUCCAAACUCC